AUUGAACGCUGGCGGCAUGCUUUACACAUGCGAGUCGAACGGUAACAGGGUGCUUGCACCGCUGACGAGUGGCGAACGGGUGAGUAAUGCGUCGGAACGUGCCGAGUAGUGGGGGAUAACGCAGCGAAAGUUGUGCUAAUACCGCAUACGUACUGAGGUAGAAAGUGGGGGACCUUCGGGCCUCACGCUAUUCGAGCGACCGACGUCUGAUUAGCUAGUAGGUGAGGUAAAGGCUCACCUAGGCGACGAUCAGUAGCGGGUCUGAGAGGAUGAGCCGCAACACUGGGACUGAGACACGGCCCAGACUCCUACGGGAGGCAGCAGUGGGGAAUUUUGGACAAUGGGCGAAAGCCUGAUCCAGCCAUGCCGCGUGUCUGAAGAAGGCCUUCGGGUUGUAAAGGACUUUUGUCGGGGAGGAAAUCCCUAGUGCUAAUAACACUGGGGGAUGACAGUACCUGAAGAAUAAGCACCGGCUAACUACGUGCCAGCCGCCGCAGUAA
This 500-nucleotide ribosomal RNA is filed under the name uncultured bacterium. RNAcentral's name for it is "partial 16S ribosomal RNA". It matches the Rfam family "Bacterial small subunit ribosomal RNA", at positions 30 to 523 of the family's 1533-position model. The record is from RNAcentral.